RNAcentral lists this ribosomal RNA (253 nucleotides) under uncultured bacterium. RNAcentral's name for it is "partial 16S ribosomal RNA". It matches the Rfam family "Bacterial small subunit ribosomal RNA", at positions 524 to 776 of the family's 1533-position model. The record is from RNAcentral.
UACAGAGGUCCCGAGCGUUGUUCGGAUUCACUGGGCGUAAAGGGUGCGUAGGCGGUCGGGUAAGUCUGACGUGAAAUCUCCAAGCUCAACUUGGAAAUGGCGUCGGAUACUAUUCGGCUCGAGGAAUGGAGGGGAGACUGGAAUUCUCGGUGUAGCAGUGAAAUGCGUAGAUAUCGAGAGGAACACCAGUGGCGAAGGCGAGUCUCUGGACAUUUCCUGACGCUGAGGCACGAAAGCCAGGGGAGCAAACGGG